ACAAUGAAGAGUUUGAUCCUGGCUCAGGAUGAACGCUAGCGAUAGGCUUAACACAUGCAAGUCGAGGGGCAGCAUGGUCUUAGCUUGCUAAGAC
This 94-nucleotide non-coding RNA is filed under the name Porphyromonas sp. oral taxon 279 str. F0450. RNAcentral's name for it is "Bacterial small subunit ribosomal RNA". It matches the Rfam family "Bacterial small subunit ribosomal RNA", at positions 1 to 95 of the family's 1533-position model. The record is from Rfam by way of RNAcentral. Lineage: Bacteria; Pseudomonadati; Bacteroidota; Bacteroidia; Bacteroidales; Porphyromonadaceae.